Molecule: ribosomal RNA, 688 nt
Filed under: Hohenbuehelia sp. PDD 89835
Lineage: Eukaryota; Fungi; Basidiomycota; Agaricomycetes; Agaricales; Pleurotaceae
Description: eukaryotic LSU rRNA
Rfam family: 5.8S ribosomal RNA (bases 302-455)
Source: RNAcentral
AAAAGUCGUAACAAGGUUUCCGUAGGUGAACCUGCGGAAGGAUCAUUAUUGUAUUCACCUGCGAUGCUGUUGCUGGCUCCUUGUGGGCAUGUGCACGCUUCGUAAGUUAAUUUCAACCACCUGUGAACCUUUUGUAGUCUUGGGUGACGCUAUAAGUCAAAGGAAACUUUGGAUUUGAAUGCUGCUGGCUUGUAAAAAGGUCAACUUCAUUCUACAGCAGAGCCCGGGURCUAUGCUUUACACACCCCAUUGUAUGUCAUAGAAUGUAAUUCAAGGGCUUCAAUGCCUUUAAACUUAAUACAACUUUCAGCAACGGAUCUCUUGGCUCUCGCAUCGAUGAAGAACGCAGCGAAAUGCGAUAAGUAAUGUGAAUUGCAGAAUUCAGUGAAUCAUCGAAUCUUUGAACGCACCUUGCGCCCUUUGGUAUUCCGAAGGGCAUGCCUGUUUGAGUGUCAUUAAAUUCUCAACCUUAGAAGGCUUUGUCUUUUCUAAGGCUUGGAUGUGGAGGUUGCGGGCUUUUCAAGUCGGCUCCUCUGAAAUGYAUUAGCUGGGUUUGCGCCUUCAGCCUACUGGUGUGAUAAUUAUCUACGCCUCUUGGGUCGUUAGCGUGUAUAAAUCUUUCCAGCUUCUAACCGUCCGCAAGGACAAUACUUGACCAUUUGACCUCAAAUCAGGUAGGAUUACCCGC